GGAUCACAGUUAUCCCUCUUCAUUUCACACCACAUUCUCACGAUUCCACAUUCAUCCCCUCUGAAUGCUUCAUCGGCGGCGCUAUCAACCUUGCACUGUCGUCUCACCGAACCUCCAUUGCACUCAACUUCCAUCGGCCUUGCUCGCAUCGCUCCCUUCCGUCGCACCCCUUCCCGGUUCUUCUCCGUCGCACCCCUUCCGUCGGCCUUGCUCGCAUCGCUCCUGUUCGAACCAUAAUGUGCGUUUCUCUCUUCGAUCUCGCCACUAGUGCUUGCUCUUUUCCGUGUGUUGCUGCGUUUCUCUCUUCGAUCUUGCCUCAGCUGUGCAGGUUUUUAUUGAUUCACAGUGUCUCAGCGAUUGAAGACUAGUGUCCAUGUUAACUUGGUCUUCCAUAUAGAACUGAGAAUCAAGAUGCUAUAGAUGCCGCAAUUGUUGGUAUGCUUGCUGAUCCAAAGGAGGCAAGAGCUGGAAUUAGGGAGGUCCAUUUUUUCCCUUUCAAUCCUGGAGACAAGAAGACUGCUCUAACUUACAUUGAAUAUGAUGGAAAUUGGCAUAGAUCCAGCAAAGGUGCUCCUGAGUAGAUAUUAAACCUCUGCAACUGCAAAGAGGAUGUGAGGAGAAAGGCUAUGCAACUAUUGUUAAGUUUGCUGAGCGUGGGCUUCAAUUUUUGGGAGUUGCUAGACAGGAAGUACCUGAAAAUCCAAAAGAUGCUCCUGGUGCAUCAUGGCAAUUUGUUGCGCUGCUACCUAGCAUAACCCCUCAAAGUUAGACGUAUCACCUGCUGCGACAUGGCGAGGUUGGUUUGGAUUCAAAGCAUCCCAGAGCUAUUGUGCUUUGUGCUACGGAGGAGAAAGCUAAUGAGUGUUUUAGUGCUGCAAAGUAUAUCAUGGAGAUUGCGGAAGCAAAGUUGGCAAAGCAACGUUCUUGUGAAUUUAUCUUGUUAUGACAGGUUUUGGGUGAUGAAUCCCCCAUUGUGAAGCAUCUUGAGCGUGAUCAUGCUGAAAAUAUUUAUGUAAUUGAUAUUGGUUUGGUAAUCUGAUGGAUAUGAAAUUGAUGACUGCAUCUGAAGAUAUUUAUGUAAAGAUGGCAGGGAAAGAUGUAGAAGCAAUUGUACAAAAAAGAUUGCCCAAGUUCAAGAAAAAGAAGCAAAAGAUUACCUCUGCUAUAAUCUGGGUGCUGUCUUCUGGAAUUUUGAUCUUAUGCUUGGCCAUCAUCAUUUAUAGAUGGGAGAUUCGUAAAAAAGGAAAGAUAAAAGAGAAAAGAGAAUCAGAUGCAAUAAAUAGUCAGCAUGAUGAGGAAGAUCUAGAAUUGCCCUUAUUUGGUAUAGAUACGGUUACUUCUGCAGCAAACAAUUUUUCAACUGACAACUUAUUAGGAAGAGGUGGUUUUGGACCAGUUUAUAAGCUUAAUGUGAAGAAAUUGGAAGUUGAGAUUUCAAAUAAAGACAUGAAUUUGUCUCCUAUAUUGAAGUCAAUCAAGGAGCUUGAGAAAGCAGCAAUCAAGAUAAAUGACCAGAGAAAGUAAAUAGAAGCAAGUAAAGGUUGGAGAAUAUGGAAAGAGUACCAAAUGAAAGUGAGAGAUGUGAAUGAUAGACUUAUGAUGGCUGAACGUGCAUUCACUGACAGAGAUGGUCUCUUAGGAAUGACAUGGCAUAAGCAUUUGGGUUCUAACUUCUAAGAAAGAUGAAAUUGAAGAAACCAAGCAAGCAAAGCAGAGAAGAAACAUCAAACAUGGCUGCUACUGUUGGAAUCACAGAAUUUAUUGGAGUAGAGAUGAUAGAGAAGGCAAUUUCUUAGUAGAUGAAGCUAUUUUGUCCAAGCUAAAGUCAAAGAAGGCAAAGGUCCUUGUUGAGGUAAAUCUAUAUUGUGCCCUUUAAUUUAAACAAUGCGAACCUGGUUGCGACUCAACAAAAGACUGGCUGCAAUUUUCUCAGCUAACUUGAAAACCAAAUGGAAGAACUUGUAUAUUGCAAUGCUGAUGUGGAGUUUAACUUGAAGCUAAGUGGCCACACACAACCACAAGGAGAUCCAGGAGGUGUAUUUGUCAAUGGCUCUGAGCAAGUCACCAUCAUGCAAUCUAAAAGGAAUAGGAUCAAUAUAAAAUCUUGUUUGUUUAAAUUGUUGAAAAUGAAGGAACUAGUAGUGUCAAUGAGUAAUGUAAAUAGUUAUAGUUUUGUCAAUGGUUUAUUUUUUUGGGUAUCUUUUUAUUGAGAUAGUGAGAUAUUGGCCAAUGAUGUUGAAAAAUAACAUCCAAUUUUAUAGGUAUCAUGUAAUGAAUAUUAUGUUUA
Long non-coding RNA from Arachis stenosperma, 2287 nucleotides. RefSeq lists it as uncharacterized. The transcript has 12 exons. Lineage: Eukaryota; Viridiplantae; Streptophyta; Magnoliopsida; Fabales; Fabaceae. The record is from RefSeq and is a predicted model, not a curated record.